Molecule: ribosomal RNA, 301 nt
Filed under: uncultured bacterium
Lineage: Bacteria
Description: partial 16S ribosomal RNA
Rfam family: Bacterial small subunit ribosomal RNA
Source: RNAcentral
CAGCAGCCACGGUAAUACGGAGGGAGCUAGCGUUGUUCGGAAUUACUGGGCGUAAAGCGCACGUAGGCGGCUUUGUAAGUUAGAGGUGAAAGCCUGGAGCUCAACUCCAGAAUUGCCUUUAAGACUGCAUCGCUUGAAUCCAGGAGAGGUGAGUGGAAUUCCGAGUGUAGAGGUGAAAUUCGUAGAUAUUCGGAAGAACACCAGUGGCGAAGGCGGCUCACUGGACUGGUAUUGACGCUGAGGUGCGGAAGCGUGGGGAGCAAACAGGAUUAGAUACCCCAGUAGUCCCUGUCUCUUAUAA